GUGGAAUGAAACAUAGUGGAGUAUGAUCUACACAGGGAGCUUGUGACCGGAGUAUAUAUGGGGGAAAUUUUGGCCCUGGGAAGGUGAGGAACCAGCAUGUAGCACUGUCCAAGGCUGACAGCCCAUCUGAAGAGGAUCCUGAGCUCUCAAUAGAGACUGUCUGGAUCAGGCAAACACAGGGUAUCCUGCAUGACCGAGGACACUGGACUUGUGACUGUCCUGCCAGUACCACCCUGUGUUCCCACAGGGCAGAGCAUUGUCCCCAGGAGUGGUGAAGUAGCAGAAGGUGGAUGCAACUAUGCCAAGGGGAUUUGCUAGAGACCAUAUAUGGAAUCUGUAACAGAACCAGGACAUCCUACAUCCUGCCACAGAAUGAUGCUGAAAGAGGCCCUAAGGCUGUUUCUGUUGUCCUCCAGUUUGCAUCAGUGGAUGUGAAGAUUGUGCUAAACUCAUCUGAAGAGCCUCCUAAAACCAGGCAGAUGGUUUGAUUUGCAGUGGGAAAGAAAAAAGUGGAGAAAAAGUAAGUGUUUGAAACCUAUUCCCACCCCUCACCCCCAGUAAAACUCCUUAGGGUAAUAU
RNAcentral lists this long non-coding RNA (579 nucleotides) under Apteryx owenii (little spotted kiwi). RNAcentral describes it as "lncRNA (ENSAOWG00000010614.1)". The record is from RNAcentral. Lineage: Eukaryota; Metazoa; Chordata; Aves; Apterygiformes; Apterygidae.